This 2189-nucleotide ribosomal RNA is filed under the name Staphylococcus aureus. RNAcentral describes it as "23S ribosomal RNA". It matches the Rfam family "Bacterial large subunit ribosomal RNA". Lineage: Bacteria; Bacillati; Bacillota; Bacilli; Caryophanales; Staphylococcaceae. The record is from RNAcentral.
AGAUUAAGUUAUUAAGGGCGCACGGUGGAUGCCUUGGCACUAGAAGCCGAUGAAGGACGUUACUAACAACGAUAUGCUUUGGGGAGCUGUAAGUAAGCUUUGAUCCAGAGAUUUCCGAAUGGGGAAACCCAGCAUGAGUUAUGUCAUGUUAUCGAUAUGUGAAUACAUAGCAUAUCAGAAGGCACACCCGGAGAACUGAAACAUCUUAGUACCCGGAGGAAGAGAAAGAAAAUUCGAUUCCCUUAGUAGCGGCGAGCGAAACGGGAAGAGCCCAAACCAACAAGCUUGCUUGUUGGGGUUGUAGGACACUCUAUACGGAGUUACAAAGGACGACAUUAGACGAAUCAUCUGGAAAGAUGAAUCAAAGAAGGUAAUAAUCCUGUAGUCGAAAAUGUUGUCUCUCUUGAGUGGAUCCUGAGUACGACGGAGCACGUGAAAUUCCGUCGGAAUCUGGGAGGACCAUCUCCUAAGGCUAAAUACUCUCUAGUGACCGAUAGUGAACCAGUACCGUGAGGGAAAGGUNGUAAGGACAUGUGGAGCGCUUAGAAGUGAGAAUGCCGGUGUGAGUAGCGAAAGACGGGUGAGAAUCCCGUCCACCGAUUGACUAAGGUUUCCAGAGGAAGGCUCGUCCGCUCUGGGUUAGUCGGGUCCUAAGCUGAGGCCGACAGGCGUAGGCGAUGGAUAACAGGUUGAUAUUCCUGUACCACCUAUAAUCGUUUUAAUCGAUGGGGGGACGCAGUAGGAUAGGCGAAGCGUGCGAUUGGAUUGCACGUCUAAGCAGUAAGGCUGAGUAUUAGGCAAAUCCGGUACUCGUUAAGGCUGAGCUGUGAUGGGGAGAAGACAUUGUGUCUUCGAGUCGUUGAUUUCACACUGCCGAGAAAAGCCUCUAGAUAGAAAAUAGGUGCCCGUACCGCAAACCGACACAGGUAGUCAAGAUGAGAAUUCUAAGGUGAGCGAGCGAACUCUCGUUAAGGAACUCGGCAAAAUGACCCCGUAACUUCGGGAGAAGGGGUGCUCUUUAGGGUUAACGCCCAGAAGAGCCGCAGUGAAUAGGCCCAAGCGACUGUUUAUCAAAAACACAGGUCUCUGCUAAACCGUAAGGUGAUGUAUAGGGGCUGACGCCUGCCCGGUGCUGGAAGGUUAAGAGGAGUGGUUAGCUUCUGCGAAGCUACGAAUCGAAGCCCCAGUAAACGGCGGCCGUAACUAUAACGGUCCUAAGGUAGCGAAAUUCCUUGUCGGGUAAGUUCCGACCCGCACGAAAGGCGUAACGAUUUGGGCACUGUCUCAACGAGAGACUCGGUGAAAUCAUAGUACCUGUGAAGAUGCAGGUUACCCGCGACAGGACGGAAAGACCCCGUGGAGCUUUACUGUAGCCUGAUAUUGAAAUUCGGCACAGCUUGUACAGGAUAGGUAGGAGCCUUUGAAACGUGAGCGCUAGCUUACGUGGAGGCGCUGGUGGGAUACUACCCUAGCUGUGUUGGCUUUCUAACCCGCACCACUUAUCGUGGUGGGAGACAGUGUCAGGCGGGCAGUUUGACUGGGGCGGUCGCCUCCUAAAAGGUAACGGAGGCGCUCAAAGGUUCCCUCAGAAUGGUUGGAAAUCAUUCAUAGAGUGUAAAGGCAUAAGGGAGCUUGACUGCGAGACCUACAAGUCGAGCAGGGUCGAAAGACGGACUUAGUGAUCCGGUGGUUCCGCAUGGAAGGGCCAUCGCUCAACGGAUAAAAGCUACCCCGGGGAUAACAGGCUUAUCUCCCCCAAGAGUUCACAUCGACGGGGAGGUUUGGCACCUCGAUGUCGGCUCAUCGCAUCCUGGGGCUGUAGUCGGUCCCAAGGGUUGGGCUGUUCGCCCAUUAAAGCGGUACGCGAGCUGGGUUCAGAACGUCGUGAGACAGUUCGGUCCCUAUCCGUCGUGGGCGUAGGAAAUUUGAGAGGAGCUGUCCUUAGUACGAGAGGACCGGGAUGGACAUACCUCUGGUGUACCAGUUGUCGUGCCAACGGCAUAGCUGGGUAGCUAUGUGUGGACGGGAUAAGUGCUGAAAGCAUCUAAGCAUGAAGCCCCCCUCAAGAUGAGAUUUCCCAACUUCGGUUAUAAGAUCCCUCAAAGAUGAUGAGGUUAAUAGGUUCGAGGUGGAAGCAUGGUGACAUGUGGAGCUGACGAAUACUAAUCGAUCGAAGACUUAAUCAAAUU